GGGUACUUACGCUUACGGUUUAAGGGGGCGGUUUGCUAAACCGUUAGGUCGAGCAACUGGCGCAAUGGUUCAAAUCCAUUACUCUCCG
Molecule: transfer RNA, 88 nt
Filed under: Bacteroidota bacterium
Lineage: Bacteria; Pseudomonadati; Bacteroidota
Description: Bacteroidetes bacterium (groundwater metagenome) tRNA-Ser
Rfam family: tRNA
About the family: Transfer RNA (tRNA) molecules are approximately 80 nucleotides in length. Their secondary structure includes four short double-helical elements and three loops (D, anti-codon, and T loops). Further hydrogen bonds mediate the characteristic L-shaped molecular structure. tRNAs have two regions of fundamental functional importance: the anti-codon, which is responsible for specific mRNA codon recognition, and the 3' end, to which the tRNAs corresponding amino acid is attached (by aminoacyl-tRNA synthetases). tRNAs cope with the degeneracy of the genetic code in two manners: having more than one tRNA (with a specific anti-codon) for a particular amino acid; and 'wobble' base-pairing, i.e. permitting non-standard base-pairing at the 3rd anti-codon position.
Source: RNAcentral